CUCCGACAUGACGCAUGUCGUGUUGGGAAAGAUUCAUCGGUAUGGGAUGGGGUCGCGUCCUAUCAGCUUGAUGGCGGGGUAACGGCCCACCAUGGCUUCGACGGGUAGCCGGCCUGAGAGGGCGACCGGCCACAUUGGGACUGAGAUACGGCCCAGACUCCUACGGGAGGCAGCAGUGGGGAAUAUUGCACAAUGGGCGCAAGCCUGAUGCAGCGACGCCGCGUGCGGGAUGACGGCCUUCGGGUUGUAAACCGCUUUUGACUGGGAGCAAGCCCUUCGGGGUGAGUGUACCUUUCGAAUAAGCACCGGCUAACUACGUGCCAGCAGCCGCGGUAAUACGUAGGGUGCAAGCGUUAUCCGGAAUUAUUGGGCGUAAAGGGCUCGUAGGCGGUUCGUCGCGUCCGGUGUGAAAGUCCAUCGCUUAACGGUGGAUCCGCGCCGGGUACGGGCGGG
RNAcentral lists this ribosomal RNA (453 nucleotides) under uncultured Bifidobacterium sp. Its description in RNAcentral is "bacterial SSU rRNA". It matches the Rfam family "Bacterial small subunit ribosomal RNA", at positions 173 to 640 of the family's 1533-position model. Lineage: Bacteria; Bacillati; Actinomycetota; Actinomycetes; Bifidobacteriales; Bifidobacteriaceae. The record is from RNAcentral.